CAGGCCUCGGUUGAAGGGCGGAGACCUGAAUGGCGCUGGAACGAGUUGUUCUGCUGCGUUCCCGACCACGCGUGACGCUUUACGGUUGAGCAGAGUGCCCACGCAGAACACAUGGAGAUCCCCGCUUACCUCCACGCCCGCUUCCUGCGCUCCACUGACUGCAAACACGACCCGCUGAUGUCUAAAACAACAUAAUCAUGAGAUGUUUUGUUGAAAUGAAGGCCCAGCUCAGAAGCUACCUCUUCCGUGCAGACUUCUUGGAUCAUCAUGAUACCUUCUCUACCAAUUGCUUCUAUAAUAAAUGAUACUGGGUCAUU
Molecule: long non-coding RNA, 317 nt
Organism: Echinops telfairi (small Madagascar hedgehog)
Lineage: Eukaryota; Metazoa; Chordata; Mammalia; Afrosoricida; Tenrecidae
Exons: 2
Source: RefSeq, a predicted model, not a curated record